This 567-nucleotide ribosomal RNA is filed under the name Triticum aestivum (bread wheat). RNAcentral's name for it is "partial small subunit ribosomal RNA". The record is from RNAcentral. Lineage: Eukaryota; Viridiplantae; Streptophyta; Magnoliopsida; Poales; Poaceae.
AUGCGUUUUGAAGCCCAUGGACGCAAGUACUCUGUCGAUAUUGUGAAGGGGGCACACAGGACCAGGAUCAAGGGGAGUGGCUGGAAGAAAUUCACUUCUGACUUUUCUCUUCAGAAGGGUGCUGUGGUCAUUUUUGACUUGGACAAGCGCCCCCGCCAGGCAUAUGUUGUUGUUCAAAGUGGUGACUUGGACACAGUUGAAGGGAGCUCUUCAGACGGGGAUGCUGAUGAAGAGAUGAUAGAUGGAGACAUCUCAGAUGUGGAUGAAGACGGUGGCGACAUAAAGAUCGAGUAUACAAGGGGUCUAACUCUGAAUGAUGCACAGCAGGACAUUCUCGAUGAACUGGUGCUCAUCUUCAAAUCCAAGUUUUUAGGAGUGUCUUUUGUACACUGUCUUACUUCAACUGACACUCAAGUUGGACAAAUGAAAGUGCCAGAGAGGGUUGCUACAAGCUUGAACAUCCUUAAAGAAGGUUUGGCUGGUGUUCGUCUAAGCAGCGGGGAGGCAAAGACUCGCGUUGAAUAUAGCACGUCUACUGAUGGACUUAUAGUUUUCAACAAAAAGUAG